Molecule: ribosomal RNA, 614 nt
Filed under: Enterococcus faecalis
Lineage: Bacteria; Bacillati; Bacillota; Bacilli; Lactobacillales; Enterococcaceae
Description: partial 23S ribosomal RNA
Rfam family: Bacterial large subunit ribosomal RNA
Source: RNAcentral
UAAGGAAUGCAUGCGAUUGGAAGUGCAUGUCCAAGCAAUGAGUCUUGAGUAGAGUUAAAUGCUUUACUCUUUAAGGACAAGUUGUGACGGGGAGCGAAAUAAUAGUAGCGAAGUUCCUGAUGUCACACUGCCAAGAAAAGCUUCUAGUGAGAAAACAACUGCCCGUACCGUAAACCGACACAGGUAGUCGAGGAGAGUAUCCUAAGGUGAGCGAGCGAACUCUCGUUAAGGAACUCGGCAAAAUGACCCCGUAACUUCGGGAGAAGGGGUGCUGACUUCGGUCAGCCGCAGUGAAUAGGCCCAAGCGACUGUUUAUCAAAAACACAGGUCUCUGCAAAAUCGUAAGAUGAAGUAUAGGGGCUGACGCCUGCCCGGUGCUGGAAGGUUAAGAGGAUGGGUUAGCUUCGGCGAAGCUCAGAAUUGAAGCCCCAGUAAACGGCGGCCGUAACUAUAACGGUCCUAAGGUAGCGAAAUUCCUUGUCGGGUAAGUUCCGACCCGCACGAAAGGCGUAACGAUUUGGGCACUGUCUCAACGAGAGACUCGGUGAAAUUUUAGUACCUGUGAAGAUGCAGGUUACCCGCGACAGGACGGAAAGACCCCAUGGAGCUUUACU